GAGUGUGGCUUCUGCUCUCAGACUGCCAGGGUUCAAAUUCUGACUGCCACUGAUUUGCUGUGUGAUUUUGGGAAAGUCAGCUAACCACUCUGUGCUUCAUUUGGUGAAAAUAGCAUCCCCCCACAAGGUUAAGAAGAUGGAGUGAAUGCCUGAAAAGAACAUGGAGUAUGGCCUGCCACAGAGGAAAAUUUGGAAAAUACAGAAAAGCAUAAAAAGGGAGAUAAAAUUCAGCCAUAAUGCCAUCACUCAGCAAUAACCGUGGUCAUUCCGGACUCCUAAUGCCGCCAGUCCCUUGGUGAGACAUGAGCGCCAUUGGCGUCCAUGGCCUCUGUUUCCGUGGCAACCCAGUAACCAUUAAUUUUCAAUUAAAGGAGACAAAAAGCUCGAUGACAGCUCCAGGUCUGCUGAAGAUGUCAAGAAUCUGUAUUAAUAUACAGCAAGAGAGCAUAAUUGUGUGUCCAUCUUCCAGAGCAGCGAAAAAUGGAGGGAUAAUUACCAGCUCGAAAGGCACUCUGUAAUUUAGUUCUUACUGUCACCACAGCCCUACA
Long non-coding RNA from Manis javanica (Malayan pangolin), 548 nucleotides. RefSeq lists it as uncharacterized. The record is from RefSeq and is a predicted model, not a curated record. Lineage: Eukaryota; Metazoa; Chordata; Mammalia; Pholidota; Manidae.